This 246-nucleotide long non-coding RNA is filed under the name Lathyrus oleraceus (garden pea). RNAcentral's name for it is "Pisum sativum (pea) long non-coding RNA (PSAT_LNC037302)". The record is from RNAcentral. Lineage: Eukaryota; Viridiplantae; Streptophyta; Magnoliopsida; Fabales; Fabaceae.
AUAGAUGACAGAGAAUCAAAACAAAAAAAUAACUAACUUCAAGUUGUUAAUAGUUAGGUACAGUUGCUUGCUAUAUAAGUAACUUCAUCUUCAAGUACCAAUUGUGAUUUUGAGCAAUAAGAUAUUCGUAUACCACUUUCCUUGAUGGAUUUAAAUGAUUUCUAAUUGUUUAGCUUGAGUUUUAACAGGUUUGCUAGUUUCUAUAAGAAUAUAGCAUAAAGUGUUCCAUUCAAAUUCUUCAAAAUU